AUACGUAGGGGGCGAGCGUUGUCCGGAAUGAUUGGGCGUAAAGGGCGCGUAGGCGGCCCGGUAAGUCUGGAGUGAAAGUCCUGCUUUUAAGGCGGGAAUUGCUUUGGAUACUGUCGGGCUUGAGUGCAGGAGAGGUAAGUGGAAUUCCCAGUGUAGCGGUGAAAUGCGUAGAGAUUGGGAGGAAAACCAGUGGCGAAGGCGACUUACUGGACUGUAACUGACGCUGAGGCGCGAAAGUGUGGGGAGCAAACAGGAUUAGAUACCCUGGUAGUCCACACUGUAAACGAGGAAUGCUAUGUGUAGGGGGUAUCGACCCCUUCUGUGCCGCAGUUAACACAAUAAGCAUUCCGCCUGGGGAGUACGGCCGCAAGGUUGAAACUCAAAUGAAUUGACGGGG
This 397-nucleotide ribosomal RNA is filed under the name uncultured bacterium. RNAcentral's name for it is "partial 16S ribosomal RNA". It matches the Rfam family "Bacterial small subunit ribosomal RNA", at positions 523 to 918 of the family's 1533-position model. The record is from RNAcentral.